This 349-nucleotide ribosomal RNA is filed under the name uncultured eukaryote. RNAcentral's name for it is "SSU rRNA". It matches the Rfam family "Eukaryotic small subunit ribosomal RNA", at positions 594 to 945 of the family's 1831-position model. The record is from RNAcentral.
AUAGCGUAUAUUAAAGUUGUUGCAGUUAAAAAGCUCGUAGUUGGAUCUUGGGUCGGGGGGAGCGGUCCGCCCCUUGUGGGUGUGCACUGGUCACUCCGGCCUUUCUGCCGGGGACGCGCUCCUGGCCUUCGCUGGUCGGGACGCGGAGUCGGCGAUGUUACUUUGAAAAAAUUAGAGUGCUCAAAGCAAGCCUAUGCUCUGAAUACAUUAGCAUGGAAUAACGUGAUAGGACUCUGGUCCUUUUGUGUUGGUCUUCGGGACCGGAGUAAUGAUUAAUAGGGACAGUUGGGGGCAUUCGUAUUUCAUUGUCAGAGGUGAAAUUCUUGGAUUUAUGAAAGACGAACUUCUG